UAUAUUUAUAAAGUCAAAGAUAUGUAUAUAUCCCCCGAUUUCUCUGCCCGCCAUUGAUUUCUUCUGUUCCGGCGAGUAAAAAAACCCUAAAAUCAAAGCCUAUCGACACCUCGGUCCGGAUGAUUUCCUGCCCAGGUCUCAUGUCCGCACUCUGUUCCGGAAGAAUCUAGGGAUUUUGUUUUCUUAUGCUAAUGGGUUUUUGUUCCGGGUAUUUCGGGAAAUCCUCGGUUUAACUUGGCUUUGAACAGCGUUUGCUCGUGUUCAAUGCCAUCUAUUUUGUAAUUUCAGGCUGAUAAUUGUGAAGAAUAAACGGAUCGUGAUAUCUGGAUUCCGCGAAAAUGUCCGAGUUCGACGACGAAGCUCUGGCGACUGCGUUGUUCUGGGAAUAUAUCGAGAGUAUAGAAGCGGAAGAACUGGAAUCAGAUCUGGUGUUGGGCGGAGAUGUGGACGAUGAAUGUGUACGUAUGGAAAGAAGAAUAUGAAAAAGGCACGAGAUUUUCUCUUCCUGCAUGUCAUGCCAUCACGGAUAUGAGAGUUUGGAUCUCUAGACCAAGAGAAAUUUUUAAAUAUGAUUGUGGGAACACAAAGUUUGGGGCUUUCGCAUGGAGGCUUCUCCCAAGCAAAGAUGCAGAAAAUUCUGAGAGUUCUUACAAUCACAAUUUCAAAGGUUUGCUGUAUAUGUGAGGACUAGUUUCAUGAGGAAAAUCUGUCUGAAAUCCACCGAUGAUGUCAGAAGCCAGAUUCCGAGGACGGAGAUCCUGUGUAUGAAGAUUUCAUUUGCAAAGGGUGCUCGCCGGUUUGUUCUUUUCUGACGCUUCGUUGCGAAAACUUACGGGUAGCUCAGAUGGGAUCCACUGGUUUUGCCAAUGUUUGUUCAGACAAAACCAAGGUUAAAGGAAGCAUGUCCAAAGUCUGAACCUGACAAGCUUGAGAAUGGUAGGGCACAUGGAAAAAAAAAAAAAAAACUGUUGCUGGAGAAAGCUCCCAGAAGAAGGACUACUCGAAAACUAUCCCUAGGACUGGUUGCCCUUUCCCUGACAGAUCCAGAAUCUUGUCCUUUUGAGAGCAAACCUCUGUUUCUGUCCAAAAACUGGAGGAAUACCCUAUGCAGAUGUGAGAAAAGCUUGGAAAUGUACAGAGGAACGUUGGGUAUUUACUUGACGUGGAGGACACAAUAUCUGAGUAUGAGAAGAGAGCAUGAGGGUGAAACUUUAAACCUUGUUAGCAUUCUCGACCCAUGUGUAGCCAAAAUGGAGAUUCUUCGUGGCAUCGAGGACAUAUAUAAGAAGAGUUUCGUGGUCUACUGGUACGUAAUCUGGGCAUCUCGAAAGGAUAAAAGUUAGUGAAUUUAUGUUUCAUUGUGUAUUAUUAUAGUUCAAAGAACCAGAUCAUGACCAGAAGCUCUGUUUCCUUCAUAUUCAUCCUUUUUUGCAAGAAACUUUUUGUUAUUUGAUCCCUUCAAGGUAAAGAAUCGUUUGAAAUGGUGGUGGUGAUA
This is an RNA transcript of Tarenaya hassleriana, 1495 nucleotides long. RefSeq lists it as uncharacterized. The record is from RefSeq and is a predicted model, not a curated record. The transcript is spliced from 4 exons. Lineage: Eukaryota; Viridiplantae; Streptophyta; Magnoliopsida; Brassicales; Cleomaceae.